Molecule: ribosomal RNA, 486 nt
Filed under: uncultured bacterium
Lineage: Bacteria
Description: bacterial SSU rRNA
Rfam family: Bacterial small subunit ribosomal RNA
Source: RNAcentral
AUUGAACGCUGGCGGCAUGCCUUACACAUGCAAGUCGAACGGCAGCACGGGAGCAAUCCUGGUGGCGAGUGGCGAACGGGUGAGUAAUAUAUCGGAACGUGCCCGGUCGUGGGGAUAACGUAGCGAAAGCUACGCUAAUACCGCAUACGAUCUACGGAUGAAAGCGGGGGAUCGCAAGACCUCGCGCGAUUGGAGCGGCCGAUAUCAGAUUAGGUAGUUGGUGAGGUAAAGGCUCACCAAGCCGACGAUCUGUAGCUGGUCUGAGAGGACGACCAGCCACACUGGGACUGAGACACGGCCCAGACUCCUACGGGAGGCAGCAGUGGGGAAUUUUGGACAAUGGGCGCAAGCCUGAUCCAGCAAUGCCGCGUGCAGGAUGAAGGCCUUCGGUUGUAAACUGCUUUGUUACGGAACGAAACGGUAGAGACUCGUAAUACAGUUGCUAAUGACGGUACCGUAAGAAUAAGACACCGGCUAACUACGUAG